This 400-nucleotide ribosomal RNA is filed under the name uncultured bacterium. Its description in RNAcentral is "bacterial SSU rRNA". It matches the Rfam family "Bacterial small subunit ribosomal RNA", at positions 356 to 773 of the family's 1533-position model. The record is from RNAcentral.
GGGGAAUAUUGGACAAUGGGCGAAAGCCUGAUCCAGCAAUGCCGCGUGAGUGAUGAAGGCCUUAGGGUUGUAAAGCUCCUUUACCCGGGAUGAUAAUGACAGUAUCGGGAGAAUAAGCUCCGGCUAACUCCGUGCCAGCAGCCGCGGUAAUACGGAGGGAGCUAGCGUUGUUCGGAAUUACUGGGCGUAAAGCGCACGUAGGCGGCUUUUUAAGUCAGGGGUGAAAUCCCGGGGCUCAACCCCGGAACUGCCCUUGAAACUGGGAAGCUAGAAUCUUGGAGAGGCGAGUGGAAUUCCGAGUGUAGAGGUGAAAUUCGUAGAUAUUCGGAAGAACACCAGUGGCGAAGGCGACUCGCUGGACAAGUAUUGACGCUGAGGUGCGAAAGCGUGGGGAGCAAAC